Hippocampus comes (tiger tail seahorse) is the source of this 304-nucleotide long non-coding RNA. RefSeq lists it as uncharacterized. Lineage: Eukaryota; Metazoa; Chordata; Actinopteri; Syngnathiformes; Syngnathidae. The transcript is spliced from 4 exons. The record is from RefSeq and is a predicted model, not a curated record.
CGAGGAUGACGUAUCAGUCAUUGGCUUGGCUGCAUGGGAACAUGUCGGAAACGACUUGCGCAGGCACCAAAACACGUCGACGGUCGCAAGCGUUGAGUGUGAAGUUUCCUGCUUGCUUGACUGCUCUGAGCGCCGAUGCCGCCGCAGAUACCGCCACCGCCGUUGCCGCCACUGCUGCCGCCCAGGUGGUUGCUGAGUUUUCUUCAUGUUAGCUCUCAGUAGUCCCUGGCAAGUCCUUAGGUCAGCUGCAAGACGGCAUCCGUGACCUCCGCAGCGAGUCCACCAAGCUGAUUAUCUGCACCGC